This is a long non-coding RNA of Salvia miltiorrhiza (redroot sage), 496 nucleotides long. RefSeq lists it as uncharacterized. The record is from RefSeq and is a predicted model, not a curated record. NCBI's taxonomy places the organism in Eukaryota, Viridiplantae, Streptophyta, Magnoliopsida, Lamiales, Lamiaceae. The transcript has 2 exons.
UAUUGUUGGUGUUCUUAACUCAAGAAAAAUAUUUUCAAUUAUUUAUUCAUUGAAUUUUGAAAACCCGGCUAAGUGAAUCAUAGAAUAUUAAGCACUACACCAUGACUUAAGAUUAGCUUCACGAGACCUAUUAAGAAUAGAAUUUCUUGUAGGCUUUGUGACCAGGGGGAUUAGCGCUGCUUUCCCAAGACAGGUUUUUAUGUGUAUGAUCUUCAGGCUUUGCCUAUCCAGGUUGGCUGGCUGGUGCUGACGGGACGGAGCUGAGGCUAGAGUUAAAAUUCAUAUGUUAGACUUCCGCUGUAGCAAUUACUCUUAUACAUCUUUUGUUUUCUCAACUUAAGAUGACUUCAUGUCGAGCUUAAAUUUGAAAUUCUACUUUUAUGCUAAUGAAUGUUGGUUGUCAGAAACAUGAAACAAAACUUGUGAUCCAAAGGGGCAUAGCCCGACUUUCUAUCCUAUUUCGGGUUUUUACAAGGUUGUUCCUUGUUUAUUUCUA